GGCGGCUGCUAUACAUGCAAGUCGAGCGAACAGAUAAGGAGCUUGCUCCUUUGACGUUAGCGGCGGACGGGUGAGUAACACGUGGGUAACCUACCUAUAAGACUGGGAUAACUUCGGGAAACCGGAGCUAAUACCGGAUAAUAUUUCGAACCGCAUGGUUCGAUAGUGAAAGAUGGUUUUGCUAUCACUUAUAGAUGGACCCGCGCCGUAUUAGCUAGUUGGUAAGGUAACGGCUUACCAAGGCGACGAUACGUAGCCGACCUGAGAGGGUGAUCGGCCACACUGGAACUGAGACACGGUCCAGACUCCUACGGGAGGCAGCAGUAGGGAAUCUUCCGCAAUGGGCGAAAGCCUGACGGAGCAACGCCGCGUGAGUGAUGAAGGUCUUCGGAUCGUAAAACUCUGUUAUUAGGGAAGAACAUACGUGUAAGUAACUGUGCACGUCUUGACGGUACCUAAUCAGAAAGCCACGGCUAACUACGUGCCAGCAGCCGCGGUAAUACGUAGGUGGCAAGCGUUAUCCGGAAUUAUUGGGCGUAAAGCGCGCGUAGGCGGUUUUUUAAGUCUGAUGUGAAAGCCCACGGCUCAACCGUGGAGGGUCAUUGGAAACUGGAAAACUUGAGUGCAGAAGAGGAAAGUGGAAUUCCAUGUGUAGCGGUGAAAUGCGCAGAGAUAUGGAGGAACACCAGUGGCGAAGGCGACUUUCUGGUCUGUAACUGACGCUGAUGUGCGAAAGCGUGGGGAUCAAACAGGAUUAGAUACCCUGGUAGUCCACGCCGUAAACGAUGAGUGCUAAGUGUUAGGGGGUUUCCGCCCCUUAGUGCUGCAGCUAACGCAUUAAGCACUCCGCCUGGGGAGUACGACCGCAAGGUUGAAACUCAAAGGAAUUGACGGGGACCCGCACAAGCGGUGGAGCAUGUGGUUUAAUUCGAAGCAACGCGAAGAACCUUACCAAAUCUUGACAUCCUUUGACAACUCUAGAGAUAGAGCUUUCCCCUUCGGGGGACAAAGUGACAGGUGGUGCAUGGUUGUCGUCAGCUCGUGUCGUGAGAUGUUGGGUUAAGUCCCGCAACGAGCGCAACCCUUAAGCUUAGUUGCCAUCAUUAAGUUGGGCACUCUAAGUUGACUGCCGGUGACAAACCGGAGGAAGGUGGGGAUGACGUCAAAUCAUCAUGCCCCUUAUGAUUUGGGCUACACACGUGCUACAAUGGACAAUACAAAGGGCAGCGAAACCGCGAGGUCAAGCAAAUCCCAUAAAGUUGUUCUCAGUUCGGAUUGUAGUCUGCAACUCGACUACAUGAAGCUGGAAUCGCUAGUAAUCGUAGAUCAGCAUGCUACGGUGAAUACGUUCCCGGGUCUUGUACACACCGCCCGUCACACCACGAGAGUUUGUAACACCCGAAGCCGGUGGAGUAACCAUUGGAGCUAGCCGUCGAAGUGACAGA
Molecule: ribosomal RNA, 1445 nt
Filed under: Staphylococcus hominis
Lineage: Bacteria; Bacillati; Bacillota; Bacilli; Caryophanales; Staphylococcaceae
Description: bacterial SSU rRNA
Rfam family: Bacterial small subunit ribosomal RNA
Source: RNAcentral